GCGUUGCUCGGAAUUACUGGGCGUAAAGGGCGCGUAGGCGGACAAUUAAGUCGGGGGUGAAAGCCCGGGGCUCAACCUCGGAAUUGCCUUCGAUACUGGUGGUCUUGAGUACGGGAGAGGUGUGUGGAAUUCCGAGUGUAGAGGUGAAAUUCGUAGAUAUUCGGAAGAACAUCAGUGGCGAAGGCGACCCACUGGACCAUUACUGACGCUGAGGCGCGAAAGCGUG
This 226-nucleotide ribosomal RNA is filed under the name uncultured bacterium. RNAcentral's name for it is "partial 16S ribosomal RNA". It matches the Rfam family "Bacterial small subunit ribosomal RNA", at positions 538 to 763 of the family's 1533-position model. The record is from RNAcentral.